Molecule: long non-coding RNA, 4221 nt
Filed under: Homo sapiens (human)
Lineage: Eukaryota; Metazoa; Chordata; Mammalia; Primates; Hominidae
Description: HSALNT0101664
Source: RNAcentral
GCCUCCCGAGUAGCUGGGAUUACAGGUGCCCACCAGCAUGCCUGGCUAAUUUUGUAUUUUCAGUAGAGACGAAGUUUCACCAUGUUGGCCAAGCUGGUCUUGAACUCGGAUCUCCAGUAAUCUACCCGCCUCCGUCUCCCAAAGUGCUGGGAUUACAGGCAUGAGCCACCGCACCCGGCCACUUGCUUCUUUUAGAGAGCAGGCUUUGUGCACCUACCAGUGUUGAAAUACACUACCUUAAUGGUUAUGCUUCUCCAAAUUUGAUAUAGUAUUUGAUUUUUAAAUGUACCAUACUCUUGAGUUCCUGACCAGUACACUGUUUGAAGGAUGUCACAAGGACGUGCAUUUGAAAGUCUGAAUCCACAAAUAUGUAUUGUGCUCUAAUUGCCAGGCCUGGGCUUAGAUACUGGGGAUACAGCAUUGCAGCAGGGAAUUUGCAGAAUGAAAUGGAACCGUGAAGAAAGGAAAUGAAAAUAAAUCACCCUGUUUCCAUAGUCACCUCCCCCACACUAGUGGACUAUUCUCUCUUAAUCGGCUCCCUCAAACUCCUGCCUCUAGGACCUUCAUUCUCUCUGACUUCUUUGAUCAUGGAGCAGUAAGAUCACCAUAUGUUGGAUAUUGUUAAAUAACAUGAUAUGUUGGGAAAAGUCAUGCACUAGGAAUGAAAAAAAAACAUACAGCUAGCUUCAGCCCUGGCUCUGCCACUUGACAAAAUCCAUAACUUUCUACAAAACUUUAAGAUCUGAAUCUUGGAAUCUUAGUUUCCUAAUCCCUAGAAUGGAAUAAAGAGUCUUACUUGGCAACUCCACAGGUUCAAGAUUCCAGGCCUCAGUUUUCUCAUCUGUAAAUUGAGGGGUUUGACCUAGAUUUACAGCUUGCAAAUUUUCCUUAGAAGUGAUUCCCCAUUUAUAACAAAAUCCAACAUAAAACCCCAACAUAUAAAACAGAUAAAGACAGACUUGCUUUAAUGGCCCUGAGGCAGAAAGCUCUGAGUCCUAUAUACUCUCUUCUCCUACCUUUUAAAGGCCUUGAGGCAUCUGUGCAGAACCCUGGGGUUUCACUGAACACAGUUGGAAACUCACUGUGCUAGGUGAUUGUUUUAAAGUACCUUCCAUUUCUAAAAUUCUAUAAAUCAAAAUUUCCUAACAUUGUAUAUUUCUAUGAUGAGAUUUAACCCGUUUUCUUUCUUCAUUUAUUUAAUUAUGUUAUAGGAGAUAGUCGCAAGCUAAAACCAAAAUAUCUUUCAUCACUCCCUCCCUAUUUGUAAAGCCAAUCUCUCUGCCACAGGGAGGAAAAAAGAUGUUGAUGGAACACGUAUGGUGUAAUGAGAAAAACACAAUGGGGAUGAGAAGAUAUUAGUUCCAACCUUGGUCCUGCUUUUAACUAGUUCCAUAACUAGUUAGCUUGAUCAAGGAAUCUUAUUAACCUACCUAAAUCCAGAAAAUUAAGAGGUUGGGUGACUUAGUAAUCACAGUCAUGCACAUGAGCAUUGCGGGAGCCUGUGCCCUCAUGGCCUUCCUUAAAUAAUUCAAUUCCAACUCAGCCUACAGGCUGACUUGCUUUAUCAACCUUUCUUCAAUAUAUAUAUCCUCACCCCAGAGGGAAUGAAGGGUGAGAAGACAAAUUAGGUUGUAAGUGACACCACCAGGACAUCAAAAUAGAAAUAUCAACUCAAUCAUUGUUAUGUUUGCACAGAUGGUUCAAGCCCACAGCACGCCUUGACCCCAGCUCACCACGCAGGAGGCACAUCUCCAUUAAGACAGGGUUCAUGCAAUAUACACGUUCAUAAGGGCAAACUACAAAAUCUUAAAAACCCCAGAGUUUGGAGAAUGUUUAAAGGAAACAGUCUGGGUUAAGGACCCAGGACCUGGGGUUCAACCAAAAGGAAUGACCCCACAAAGGACAAACAGUAUGAUUCAUUGCCUCUGAGUGUGCACAUCCUGGGAAAAGGCAACUUUAGGGGUGGACACAAGAACAACAGCUCUGGUCAUGGCUGUGACUUGGUUAUAAGUUAACUUUAUGGGUCACUGAGUGUCUGGAAACAAACUAUAAAAAGAAGAAAGGGUGGCCCAGGCAGCUUUCUGUUGGAAAUGGCUGUGACCAGUUGCUUCUGGAAGGGAGAUGUAUUGACUGCAAUAAAACUUGAUAGGCUCAGCACUUGUCUGUUAAGGCUAGAAUCGGAAGUCAACUUUGGACCUGAGUAAUUGGUAUAAAUUUGUGUAUAAGGGCAAGACAGAAGGGAUUUUAUUCCAAGUGGUCAACAAUAUGGUGUCCAGCUGCUGCAUAUGAUCUGCCUUCUCUCUGACCUCUAAUCCCACGAGACUAUCUGCAUCAUCUGGGGUAAUCCUAAUAUCCAAGCAAGUGGAUACACUUUCACUGUCACCACACUGGCUUUUGUUUUUUCCUUUAAUCUUUGCUGUUCUUAGGAAUAGCAGAACAUUUAAGGUAAAAAUAAAUAAAUACAUCAUAGAGACUUGCUAUUCUUAACUAUGUCUGUUCUUGGGAAAACAAAUUGUACACAAUGUUAACUUCUAGUCAAUCAUCCUCUUUAACUUUAGUGUCAUUCGGUUAGCCGACAAUUAUUAAGCACACACUUGCACAUAUCCAGUGUCAUAGAGUCCAAAGUUGUAGGCAAUAAAUAUAAAACAAGAUUAUGCCAGAAAUGCUUCAAAAAAUACACAUCAUGUUUUAUACUUAAUUAUUUUUCAAGCUUGGUGGCGGGAAGUUCGGGGUGGGGGUGGUGCAUUGUAAGUUGUACUCAAAGUAUGAUGUAGAAAAGCCUUGAGCUGAGUUUCAGAGGCCAAGAAGCUCAUUUUAAAUAUCAUUAUCUAUAGCUGUGUGGCAGCUGAACAGAACAUCACAUUUCUGAGGCCCAGUUUUUUCAUCUGAAAGACAAACGAGGUCGAACUGGGUCAUAGUCCAUAUCACAAAGCUUAACAAUAAUAGUAGCCAAUAUUUUUUGAGACAAGCACUUUGCUUUAUCAGUUACUCCUCAUAAGAACCCUAUGAUGUAUGCAUUACUAUUUCCCCCAUUUUUCAGAUAAGGAAACUGGGUUUUGAAACUUAACCAAGGUCACACAGUGAGUAAGUGGCAAAUCUGACAUUUAAACCUAGUCUUUCCCAGCUCCCAAGUUGCGCCCAACUGUUUCACAAUACUGAACUGCCUGAGAGUUUAUCUAGGAAGAAGAUAAGAUUUUUUUUACUUAUUCAGGUUUUCACCUUGACUCCCUUAGAGCUGCAAAUAGAAGUCAUCCCUCCAUUGGCUAGCACAAUGGGAUCUUCAGAGACUCUCUCAUACGUGGAUGCUGAAGGAAAAGAAGGUCAGAAGAGUAAAGCUGUCCAUGCCGGCUGGACAUGAACAAGGAGGCUGCCAUCCUAUGCACAGCCCCCUACAUGGCUGGUAGCCAUCUUGUGAUCAUGUCAGAAGCCAGGCUUGGGGUGAUGUUGACUCUGAGGAGGCCAGAGAGGCAGGUGGAGCCAAACCAGGGGAUAUUGUGUAGCCACUGGAUCCAACCCCUCCUGAAGCCAACCCAUCUCUGGCCCUUUCAGUUAUAGCAGGCAAUUAAAACCCUGUUGUGCAUAAGUCAGUCUGAGCAUGUUUUCUGUUGGUUGCAAGAAAGAUGCUCCCUACUUACCACCUUACACCUUACACUGUGAUACGUUGCCAAUUUAAGCCAGAGUUUUGGUGAUUGUGUCUGUUUCAAGAAGACUAUCCUCAGCUCAACUCAGGUCCAUCUAAAUCAUCUCAGAGGAAAAUUCAAAGCCCCAAGUCCUUCAAGGUACCCAAGUCUCCCCCUCCUGGUUUCUUUGCUGCCCAGGUGCACAAAGUGUGUCCCAGAGUCUAAAGAUAGAUGUGGAUCAGCUAUGGUCUGGAUGUUUAUGUUCGCCCGAAAUUCAUGGGUUGAAAUCCUAACCCCCAAGGUGAGGUUAUUGGGAGGUAGGGACUAUGGGAUUGUUAGGUCAUAAUGGCAAGACCUUCGUAAAUGGGAUUAGUGCCCUUAUAAAAGAGGCCUGAGAGACACUCCUCGUCCCUUCCACCAUGUGAGCACAUGGCAAGAAAGUGCCAUGUAUGAACCAUAAAAUAGGCCUUCUCCAGAUAUUGAAUCUGCCAGUACCUUAAUCUUGGACUUCUCAGCCUCCAGAACGGUAAGAAAUACAUUUCUGUUGUUUAUAAGCUACUGUAUUAGGCCAUUCUUGCAUUGCUAUAAAGAAAUCCCUAAG